CCAACGGGAGGCAGCAGUGGGGAAUUGUUCGCAAUGGGCGAAAGCCUGACGACGCAACGCCGCGUGGAGGAUGAAGGUCUUCGGAUUGUAAACUCCUGUUGCUCGGGACGAAUAGCUUCAACCUAAUACGUUGAGGUCUGACGGUACCGAGUGAGGAAGCCCCGGCUAACUCUGUGCCAGCAGCCGCGGUAAUACAGAGGGGGCAAGCGUUGUUCGGAAUUACUGGGCGUAAAGGGCGCGUAGGCGGCCCGCUACGUCGAACGUGAAAUCCCCGGGCUCAACCCGGGAACUGCGUCCGAUACUGGUGGGCUUGAAUCCGGGAGAGGGAUGUGGAAUUCCAGGUGUAGCGGUGAAAUGCGUAGAUAUCUGGAGGAACACCGGUGGCGAAGGCGGCAUCCUGGACCGGCAUUGACGCUGAGGCGCGAAAGCCAGGGGAGCAAACGGGAUUAGAUACCCCGGUAGUCCUGGCCCUAAACGAUGAAUGCUUGGUGUGGCGGGUAUCGAUCCCUGCCGUGCCGAAGCUAACGCAUUAAGCAUUCCGCCUGGGGAUACGGUCGCAAGGCUGAAACUCAAAGGAAUUGACGG
This 585-nucleotide ribosomal RNA is filed under the name uncultured bacterium. RNAcentral describes it as "bacterial SSU rRNA". It matches the Rfam family "Bacterial small subunit ribosomal RNA", at positions 338 to 916 of the family's 1533-position model. The record is from RNAcentral.